GUUAAGCGACUAAGCGUACACGGUGGAUGCCCUGGCAGUCAGAGGCGAUGAAGGACGUGCUAAUCUGCGAUAAGCGUCGGUAAGGUGAUAUGAACCGUUAUAACCGGCGAUUUCCGAAUGGGGAAACCCAGUGUGUUUCGACACACUAUCAUUAACUGAAUCCAUAGGUUAAUGAGGCGAACCGGGGGAACUGAAACAUCUAAGUACCCCGAGGAAAAGAAAUCAACCGAGAUUCCCCCAGUAGCGGCGAGCGAACGGGGAGCAGCCCAGAGCCUGAAUCAGUGUGUGUGUUAGUGGAAGCGUCUGGAAAGGCGCGCGAUACAGGGUGACAGCCCCGUACACAAAAAUGCACAUGCUGUGAGCUCGAUGAGUAGGGCGGGACACGUGGUAUCCUGUCUGAAUAUGGGGGGACCAUCCUCCAAGGCUAAAUACUCCUGACUGACCGAUAGUGAACCAGUACCGUGAGGGAAAGGCGAAAAGAACCCCGGCGAGGGGAGUGAAAAAGAACCUGAAACCGUGUACGUACAAGCAGUGGGAGCACGCUUCGGCGUGUGACUGCGUACCUUUUGUAUAAUGGGUCAGCGACUUAUAUUCUGUAGCAAGGUUAACCGAAUAGGGGAGCCGAAGGGAAACCGAGUCUUAACUGGGCGUUAAGUUGCAGGGUAUAGACCCGAAACCCGGUGAUCUAGCCAUGGGCAGGUUGAAGGUUGGGUAACACUAACUGGAGGACCGAACCGACUAAUGUUGAAAAAUUAGCGGAUGACUUGUGGCUGGGGGUGAAAGGCCAAUCAAACCGGGAGAUAGCUGGUUCUCCCCGAAAGCUAUUUAGGUAGCGCCUCGUGAAUUCAUCUCCGGGGGUAGAGCACUGUUUCGGCAAGGGGGUCAUCCCGACUUACCAACCCGAUGCAAACUGCGAAUACCGGAGAAUGUUAUCACGGGAGACACACGGCGGGUGCUAACGUCCGUCGUGAAGAGGGAAACAACCCAGACCGCCAGCUAAGGUCCCAAAGUCAUGGUUAAGUGGGAAACGAUGUGGGAAGGCCCAGACAGCCAGGAUGUUGGCUUAGAAGCAGCCAUCAUUUAAAGAAAGCGUAAUAGCUCACUGGUCGAGUCGGCCUGCGCGGAAGAUGUAACGGGGCUAAACCAUGCACCGAAGCUGCGGCAGCGACGCUUAUGCGUUGUUGGGUAGGGGAGCGUUCUGUAAGCCUGUGAAGGUGUGCUGUGAGGCAUGCUGGAGGUAUCAGAAGUGCGAAUGCUGACAUAAGUAACGAUAAAGCGGGUGAAAAGCCCGCUCGCCGGAAGACCAAGGGUUCCUGUCCAACGUUAAUCGGGGCAGGGUGAGUCGACCCCUAAGGCGAGGCCGAAAGGCGUAGUCGAUGGGAAACAGGUUAAUAUUCCUGUACUUGGUGUUACUGCGAAGGGGGGACGGAGAAGGCUAUGUUGGCCGGGCGACGGUUGUCCCGGUUUAAGCGUGUAGGCUGGUUUUCCAGGCAAAUCCGGAAAAUCAAGGCUGAGGCGUGAUGACGAGGCACUACGGUGCUGAAGCAACAAAUGCCCUGCUUCCAGGAAAAGCCUCUAAGCAUCAGGUAACAUCAAAUCGUACCCCAAACCGACACAGGUGGUCAGGUAGAGAAUACCAAGGCGCUUGAGAGAACUCGGGUGAAGGAACUAGGCAAAAUGGUGCCGUAACUUCGGGAGAAGGCACGCUGAUAUGUAGGUGAAGCGACUUGCUCGUGGAGCUGAAAUCAGUCGAAGAUACCAGCUGGCUGCAACUGUUUAUUAAAAACACAGCACUGUGCAAACACGAAAGUGGACGUAUACGGUGUGACGCCUGCCCGGUGCCGGAAGGUUAAUUGAUGGGGUUAGCGCAAGCGAAGCUCUUGAUCGAAGCCCCGGUAAACGGCGGCCGUAACUAUAACGGUCCUAAGGUAGCGAAAUUCCUUGUCGGGUAAGUUCCGACCUGCACGAAUGGCGUAAUGAUGGCCAGGCUGUCUCCACCCGAGACUCAGUGAAAUUGAACUCGCUGUGAAGAUGCAGUGUACCCGCGGCAAGACGGAAAGACCCCGUGAACCUUUACUAUAGCUUGACACUGAACAUUGAGCCUUGAUGUGUAGGAUAGGUGGGAGGCUUUGAAGUGUGGACGCCAGUCUGCAUGGAGCCGACCUUGAAAUACCACCCUUUAAUGUUUGAUGUUCUAACGUUGACCCGUGAUCCGGGUUGCGGACAGUGUCUGGUGGGUAGUUUGACUGGGGCGGUCUCCUCCUAAAGAGUAACGGAGGAGCACGAAGGUUGGCUAAUCCUGGUCGGACAUCAGGAGGUUAGUGCAAUGGCAUAAGCCAGCUUGACUGCGAGCGUGACGGCGCGAGCAGGUGCGAAAGCAGGUCAUAGUGAUCCGGUGGUUCUGAAUGGAAGGGCCAUCGCUCAACGGAUAAAAGGUACUCCGGGGAUAACAGGCUGAUACCGCCCAAGAGUUCAUAUCGACGGCGGUGUUUGGCACCUCGAUGUCGGCUCAUCACAUCCUGGGGCUGAAGUAGGUCCCAAGGGUAUGGCUGUUCGCCAUUUAAAGUGGUACGCGAGCUGGGUUUAGAACGUCGUGAGACAGUUCGGUCCCUAUCUGCCGUGGGCGCUGGAGAACUGAGGGGGGCUGCUCCUAGUACGAGAGGACCGGAGUGGACGCAUCACUGGUGUUCGGGUUGUCAUGCCAAUGGCACUGCCCGGUAGCUAAAUGCGGAAGAGAUAAGUGCUGAAAGCAUCUAAGCACGAAACUUGCC
RNAcentral lists this ribosomal RNA (2771 nucleotides) under Escherichia coli. Its description in RNAcentral is "partial 23S ribosomal RNA". It matches the Rfam family "Bacterial large subunit ribosomal RNA". Lineage: Bacteria; Pseudomonadati; Pseudomonadota; Gammaproteobacteria; Enterobacterales; Enterobacteriaceae. The record is from RNAcentral.